Fundulus heteroclitus (mummichog) is the source of this 1251-nucleotide long non-coding RNA. RefSeq lists it as uncharacterized. The transcript has 2 exons. The record is from RefSeq and is a predicted model, not a curated record. Lineage: Eukaryota; Metazoa; Chordata; Actinopteri; Cyprinodontiformes; Fundulidae.
CACCCAUGUCAGCCUUUUUAUACCCAUUUACAAUUUGGAGUAAAAAAUCAGCUAGUUCUAAUUCUUCUAAACGCUGUCAUGAAUAUUAAUGUUAUUAAUAUUAAUAAGCAUGACAACCAUCCUGAAUCCCUUUAGAAAGUCUUGGUUGAUGUUCUGAGGGACUUGUUUCUGUUAUGACCUGAUGAAACGUGCGUGCAUCGCGUCCGCCGUUUCUUAGAUUCGCCCACAUGAAGGCGUUAUUGACCUGCUUUUCAAUCGUUUUCUGCCUUUGUUUUUCAUCUCUAGGAGCAAGUGCAGCUAGCAGGUUGAAACUUCCACACGUCCCACCACCGAGCUGACACAGACCCUCAGUCUGAUCGCCGUUGAAACAUUCCUGGUAGGACGUGAAAGCACUGAGCGCCCAUCAGUAUCCCAACAUUUAACCCUUCCUGGGAUGCUCCUCUCCAUCCUUCAAACCUAGCAUCUGAAGCCUGGGCUACGCUAGCUCCAGCAGUUCCACUGUUAGCCCCUGAGCUUUGGCCUGGCGUCGUAAAAGCUGUCUAUGGCAGCCCUGUUCCUCACGGCGCCCCCAGCAGCGCCUCCGUUCAGCCAGACGUGGGUAAACAGCUGAAGGCGGACUUUGUGUCAGUGGAUGCUAACCAAGCCGCUACCUAACGGGACAGCAGCAGGCCCGCUGCCACCAGCUUUAUCUGCAGGCCGCUAAGGGGUUCUCGCUAACUCCACUUAUGCUGGUGUUUUAUUUAUGGCAGCUUCUGUCUCGCAGCGCCGCUGCUUAUUGCCCGGAGCAAAGUCUGAUGAUGGGGGAACUGCUGCGUCGUUACCUGGAUCCAUGUUUCCGUGGAAUCUGCUGAUUGGAUGACCCGAGGGACAGCGCGAUGGUGGACGUCCCAAACAGAGGGAGGCACCACAGGGCUGGUGCAGGAUUUGGGGCCAUCAUCCUCCGUGUCCUCGCUGCCAUGGUCCUGCUGGCACACAUCUGUUGAGCAGAAGCACCUGGCCGGAUCCUGAAAGAAGUGGUUCAGCCGUAUCAACUGUGAUGGGGAGACAGCAUGCGCAACGGAAUCCAGGAUGACUACACAUGCUCUCGGUGGCAUGUAGGAAGCAUACCAGUAGUCUUCAAGGGAUGUAACGUUAAAGUGGAUUCAAGGAGAGGUUUGUGCCAAUAUGAAUCAUCUACAGAACGAGCGUGUAAGAAGACACACACUCAAAUUGCACCUGCUGCACACACUUGUCAACAAAUGGCACAAUCGA